Molecule: long non-coding RNA, 837 nt
Filed under: Monodelphis domestica (gray short-tailed opossum)
Lineage: Eukaryota; Metazoa; Chordata; Mammalia; Didelphimorphia; Didelphidae
Description: lncRNA (ENSMODG00000043738.1)
Source: RNAcentral
AAUGAACUGUUGAUGGAGUUAUAAAUUGGUAAUACCCAUACUAGUUCUGUAUCCAAAAGAGGUCAAAGAAAAAGGAAAAGUAUUCAUAUAUACAAACAUUGCAGCUCUUUUUGUUGUGGCAAAGAAUUGCAAAUCAAAGGCAUGUUCAUUAGUUGGAGAAUAGCUGUACAAGUUGUGCAUAUGAUUGUGAUGUAGUACUAUUAUGUAAUAAUAAAUGUUGAUGGGAGCUGUUCAGAAAAAAAAAAUAUGGCAAGGCUUACAUGAACUGAGGCAUAGUGAAGUGAAAAGAAUUGGGAGAUCAUUGUACACAGUAACAGCAAUGUUGUAAUGAUGAUCAACGAUGAAAGAUUUGGAUCCAAGACAAUUCCAUAGGACUAAUGUUGAAAAAAUGUUCUCUACAUCCAGAGAAAUAACUGAAGAACACUGAAUGGAAAAUGAAGUUCUCCCUGAUUCAAAACCCCAUCUUUUUAAUACUUGUGUUCCUUGGGUGAUGUAAAAUGGCAGCAAAUCAUAGAGUUCUACAAUCUCUCUGAAUAGACAUCUGAAGAGAUGCAGGUCAUCCAAAGGGCAAAGGAGAAAAAUAUGGUGGAGAUCAAAGGCAAAGUGGUGAUGCAAUCAGCUGUUUGUGUUCUGAAGUCAACAUGUCUCCGAGGAGGCCUUGGAAGGUCCACACAUGGGAACAUCUGUUGGUGAAAGCCACUUGAAAAAUAAGCAGGCAAUUAAGUAGCAGGCAUGUCUGUGCCAAGUGCACAGGACCACCAGGAGAGCAAGCAAGGCAGGAGACAACACGAGGAGGAGAAGAGAGAAAACUGAAAGAAGAUGCUUGAGUGUGCAUGC